Molecule: long non-coding RNA, 1305 nt
Filed under: Rattus norvegicus (Norway rat)
Lineage: Eukaryota; Metazoa; Chordata; Mammalia; Rodentia; Muridae
Description: long non-coding RNA NONRATT016464
Source: RNAcentral
ACACAAUGGUACGGUCCACGCCAGGCCCUUCGUAGGGCUAGCGAGAUGGGACAUAUUUCUCCCGGCUCGGGACUCGAAAGUGAGUGAUUACUUCGGCCACCCGAGGCAGUCUCCACUCCCACAGAGACCCGCCAGGAUCUCCCGAGAGGCAGGAUUUGGACCCGGACCCCAACAACUAUGUCUCUCUGACUGCAGAACCGGGUAUCCCAGAACCGGAAGCUAGACUUGUAAUGACAAAGGCGGGAGGUCCAGGAAGGGCUGGCCUCUGAAGACAGGGACUGUGCUGGUGACCACUCUUCCGAGGAGACAUGGAGUGUCCCUCAGCGAGCGACUGUGCCCAUGGUUCAGGUUAGAAGUCCUCUGGAGGCUUGGAAGCGACAACCACCUCCUCAAUCCCCGCCGAAGAUGGGGGUGGGAAUUUGAGUAAGCAAAGGUGGACUUCAGCAGAAUAACUUGAAAUGUGGGCGAGGACUGGUCGCCUAGAAUAUGAAACAAGUGGUCUUUAGGGGAAAUUUUCCAUUCCCUCUACCCCUGUCCACGAAGAACGGUGCUGAUCCACUGGACCUCCUGAUACCCUCCCAGCCAACGCGUCCCCCAAACACUUCUUUUGAUCCCAAUUAUGUUUUGAGAUAUAAAGUAUAAUUACUGCAAUGAAAUAAAGCAAAAUGUUCACAGUUGGCAACUAAAGUAACUAGGCAAUUUACAUUAUCUUCAGAUUUUUGUCUAUUUUCCAUAACGGCUAAAGUUUCUUCCUAGCAACCUAGACUUCCCUACCAACAGCGACAAAAAAGCACGCUUAAGUAUUUAAAUAAUCUGACCCCAAUAGGAAAGGAACAUGAGGAACUGUUAACUAGGAUAUGGUCUUCAGUAUAUGAUUAUGGCUAUGGCUUUCAAUAUUGUCCACCUGAUUGAGAAACUAUUAGUUUAAACAAACUGGGUCAUUUCAUUCAACAUUCAAGAGGUUCCAAAAUUAGAUAAGAAACGAAAAAUUCUUUAAGAACUGUAAUUUGAGAGGAUAAUAACAGCACAUCCGAGGUGCAUUCUUAGUUUUCCAUACAACUGUGUUUCCUCCAACAAACACACUUUGUAGAUAAACUGAUAAGGAUGAGUCUGGCCUCCCAAGAAGUCACUAGUGGUAAAAUUCCAAGCCCAAAGGUCCUCUGGGUCCUCUGCCUGAACUCGGCAUUCCAAGUACUAGGAUUAGAGAAGACACAACUAGGUAUGUGAUUUGUUUCCCCAAAGCAAAGUAAGCAUGGUUACUACAAUGGCUUGAUUCCAUGAAUUAAGUAGUAAAGUUAGACAUUU